CGCCUACGGGGGGCAGCAGUGGGGGAUAUUGCACAAUGGGGGAAACCCUGAUGCAGCGACGCCGCGUGUGGGAAGACGGUCCUCUGGAUUGUAAACCACUGUCCCCAGGGACGAAGAUGACGGUACCUGAGGAAUAAGCCACGGCUAACUACGUGCCAGCAGCCGCGGUAAUACGUAGGUGGCAAGCGUUAUCCGGAUUUACUGGGUGUAAAGGGCGUGUAGGCGGGGAAGCAAGUCAGAUGUGAAAACCACGGGCUCAACCUGUGGCCUGCAUUUGAAACUGUUUUUCUUGAGUACUGGAGAGG
This 305-nucleotide ribosomal RNA is filed under the name uncultured bacterium. RNAcentral describes it as "bacterial SSU rRNA". It matches the Rfam family "Bacterial small subunit ribosomal RNA", at positions 336 to 657 of the family's 1533-position model. The record is from RNAcentral.